GUUCUCAUUGGCAAGGCUGGGGACACAAUUCGAUACUUGCAGUACAAUUCUGGUGCGAAGAUUCAAAUCAUGAGGGAUGCAGAAGCCGAUCCCAAUCGUUUAACUAGACCUGUAGAAAUAAUUGGAACUUCGGAAAAUAUAAAGAAGGCAGAGGAGUUAAUUAAUGCUGUGAUUGCAGAGGCUGAUGCUGGUGGAUCUCCAUCCCUUAUAGCCAGAGGCCUUACUUCAUCGCAUUCUAUUGCAACUGCUGAACAGAUUCAGUUACAAGUUCCAAAUGAAAAGGUUGGUUUAAUUAUUGGAAGAGGUGGGGAGACUAUUAAAAGUCUGCAGACCAGAUCUGGUGCACGU
Molecule: unclassified non-coding RNA, 348 nt
Filed under: Hevea brasiliensis (rubber tree)
Lineage: Eukaryota; Viridiplantae; Streptophyta; Magnoliopsida; Malpighiales; Euphorbiaceae
Source: RNAcentral